AAGAAGAUCUAGAAGAGAGAAAGGGAUAUGACCAGAGCUUCCCACCACUGGCCUGUGGCAGGCUUCACCACCCACCAGCCAAGGAAUCACCACCUUUGUUGCCACUGCUUCACCACAGGAGCUGCUGCCUUUGAAGAGGACCAUUCUUUUGCCAAAACCAUGGGCUCCUGUGGCUGGAUCUCUUUGUUUAUAUUAAUCAAUGGACAAUACAAGGAAGAGAAACUCCCUCUUGUGUGGGGAGUAGCUUGGCUGCCCAGC
Telopea speciosissima is the source of this 258-nucleotide long non-coding RNA. RefSeq lists it as uncharacterized. Lineage: Eukaryota; Viridiplantae; Streptophyta; Magnoliopsida; Proteales; Proteaceae. The transcript is spliced from 3 exons. The record is from RefSeq and is a predicted model, not a curated record.